CCCCUCUCAGGGUCGCACCUGAAGGGUUUCCAGGACUCUACCAGUCUCGGCUACUGGAGGGAGAGUCAAGCAGAGGCCUCCCCAUUCCAUUCCUAGCUUGGGCAGUGGUUAGCGAGUGGAAGGUGAUCUGCUACGAGU
Ornithorhynchus anatinus (platypus) is the source of this 138-nucleotide small nucleolar RNA. The record is from RefSeq and is a predicted model, not a curated record. Lineage: Eukaryota; Metazoa; Chordata; Mammalia; Monotremata; Ornithorhynchidae.